AAAUUGAAGAGUUUGAUCAUGGCUCAGAUUGAACGCUGGCGGCAGGCCUAACACAUGCAAGUCGAACGGUAACAGGAAGCAGCUUGCUGCUUCGCUGACGAGUGGCGGACGGGUGAGUAAUGUCUGGGAAACUGCCUGAUGGAGGGGGAUAACUACUGGAAACGGUGGCUAAUACCGCAUAACGUCGCAGGACCAAAGAGGGGGACCUUCGGGCCUCUUGCCAUCAGAUGUGCCCAGAUGGGAUUAGCU
RNAcentral lists this ribosomal RNA (249 nucleotides) under Salmonella enterica. RNAcentral describes it as "partial 16S ribosomal RNA". It matches the Rfam family "Bacterial small subunit ribosomal RNA", at positions 1 to 246 of the family's 1533-position model. The record is from RNAcentral. Lineage: Bacteria; Pseudomonadati; Pseudomonadota; Gammaproteobacteria; Enterobacterales; Enterobacteriaceae.